Molecule: ribosomal RNA, 371 nt
Filed under: uncultured bacterium
Lineage: Bacteria
Description: bacterial SSU rRNA
Rfam family: Bacterial small subunit ribosomal RNA
Source: RNAcentral
GGAGGGGGCGAGCGUUAUUCGGAAUUAUUGGGCGUAAAGGGCGCGUAGGCGGCCCGCUAAGUCAAAGGUGAAAUCCCUCGGCUCAACUGAGGAACUGCCUUUGAAACUGACGGGCUUGAGGCCGGGAGGGGGUAGCGGAAUUCCCAAUGUAGCGGUGAAAUGCGUAGAUAUUGGGAGGAACACCGGUGGCGAAGGCGGCAUCCUGGACCGGUAUUGACGCUGAGGCGCGAAAGCCAGGGGAGCAAACGGGAUUAGAUACCCCGGUAGUCCUGGCCCUAAACGAUGAAUGCUUGGUGUGGCGGGUAUCGAUCCCUGCCGUGCCGAAGCUAACGCAUUAAGCAUUCCGCCUGGGGAGUACGGUCGCAAGGCUG